CAGAGCUUUGAACCGAGUUAAAAGGAACCCAAUUCUUUUCUCCCAAAACUAUACCAUUUUACAUGUUGUAUAAAGUACCUUUCUCUUGUUUUCCCUCAUUUUUCAUUUUACUUUUCUCUCUCUUCACUAUAUUUUCUCUACGUUCUUUUUAUAUUCCAAAAGAAAAUGGCCAGAAGGUUAAAGCCUUCUAAAUACCAGCAACAUCCUACCACCGUCACUACCCCUCACUACCACUCGCUGGCCGUCCACUGGUGACCAGAGCUAUCCCAAAAAAUCUCCACAAGCUCAUCUUAGUGUCAUUUUCCACAUGUUCUAGUUGGUUCCAUAAACACAUUGGAUUUACGUAGAUCUGGACUCAAAGAUCACAAUUUCUUUCCCUAGAAUCUACCUCGUCGUUGCUCCAGCUACUACUAAUUCGAGGUAUGUUCUUCCUCAGGUCCUUGAUUAUCUCGUCACCGAUUUUAAAGAUGCGAAAUAACCUAAAUCAACCUUGAUUAGGAAUCUUAGACAGGAAGCCUUUCUUUUUUGUUUUAUUUUUUUGAUUACUUGUGUGAUUUUGAUUUUGGUGCCAGUGAUGACUAGAAACCAAGAUGUUUCUAGUAGUAAGGAUUGGUGUCUCAACAGCCAAUGCAUGGGUUGGUGACUAGCUUAUUUUUUAGCUUUAUUUGUUUGCAGGUGUGGAUUGACUUCAAUGAUUAAUAGGUAUGGUGAUGAAUGGUUUCUAGAACCUCGUAUUUUGGUCUGAUUAUGGGUUUUGGGCUAUCUAAUACGAGUUGGAUUGUUGGUGUUUUGGAUUGUAUCUUAAUUGCCUAGUGGUACAUUGUAGAUCCUUCUUACUCUUUGUUUUUUUUUUUUUUUUUUUUUGCCUUCUAAGAAUUCAGUGUAGCUGGAAUUGUGGUUGCUUCUCUGUUUGUAUAUCGUUUUCAAGGCUAGGUUUGGUGAUGGUUUGUGUUUCAUGGGUUCAGUUAGUUGGUGCUAAGGUUGAGUUCGCAGUUGUGGUUGGUACUAAAGUCUUGGUUGGGAUUGGGAUUAUGGUUGUUGGAUUGUUGGCAAUAGGAAUGAAGGUAAAUUUAUGACAGUUUGAGAGUGCUGAUGAGCUAGCAAUUACUCACUGAUUGUUGAAUCUUGCUUGCUUUCUUCUUUUUAUUUUUUGCUACUGUGAUUCUACCUGCUCUCUAUUUUCU
This 1184-nucleotide long non-coding RNA is filed under the name Durio zibethinus. Its description in RNAcentral is "long non-coding RNA (DZIB_LNC002326)". Lineage: Eukaryota; Viridiplantae; Streptophyta; Magnoliopsida; Malvales; Malvaceae. The record is from RNAcentral.